UUAUUUUUGUAGUUGAAAUACAACGAUGGUUUUUCAUGCCAUAGGUUAUGGUUAGAGUCCAUAUAAAAAUA
This 71-nucleotide transfer RNA is filed under the name Metachirus nudicaudatus (brown four-eyed opossum). RNAcentral's name for it is "transfer RNA-Glu". It matches the Rfam family "tRNA". Rfam says of the family: Transfer RNA (tRNA) molecules are approximately 80 nucleotides in length. Lineage: Eukaryota; Metazoa; Chordata; Mammalia; Didelphimorphia; Didelphidae. The record is from RNAcentral.